Molecule: long non-coding RNA, 797 nt
Organism: Platichthys flesus (European flounder)
Lineage: Eukaryota; Metazoa; Chordata; Actinopteri; Pleuronectiformes; Pleuronectidae
Exons: 5
Source: RefSeq, a predicted model, not a curated record
GUCCUCUGUGGUAAAAGAUCAAUGAUCAACAGAAGAAACCAGAAAACAAACAAACAAACAAACACCAGUUUCAGUGAAUGACGCGGUCGUCAGUAAAACAACAGAAAACUGGAACGAGACAAACCUUGAACGCGUCUCUAAUCAGGAACAGCUGGGUCGUGCAGGAAGCGAUGAUUCCUCCUCAGGAAACUUUUCAUCUAAAGACUUUUACACUUUGUUAAACGAGCAUUUGUUAGACUCGAGGAAUAAACUUGGUUCGAGACAUGAAAGUGAUUUUUAAAGGCGGAAGGUUGUUCUCUUAACUCUUCUCACGUGGCUACAGGUUUAAAAGGACACACGCUGUGGUGCACAACUUCUGCUUCUGAUCCGAUAAGACGACAUCCUUCCUGAAGAAGUUGACUGAAGGGAUAUUAAGGGCCAGUAGGCAUGGCGGCUGCUGCUGCCGUGGCAACCGGCAAGAAAAGAAAGAGGCCUCACAUCUUUGAAUCCAACCCCUCAAUUCGCAAGAGGCAGCAGACCCGACUGCUCAGGAAACUAAGAGCUACACUUGAUGAGUAUACCACCAGAGUGGGGCAGCAGGCCAUAGUGCUGUGUAUUUCUCCCUCCAAACCCAACCCAGUGUUCAAGGUGUUUGGUGCUGCUCCUCUGUAGAAUGUGGUGAAGAAGUAUAGGAGCAUGAUGUUGGAGGAUCUGGAGAACGCUCUCGCUGAACACGCCCCUCCAGGUGGAGACAUGGCCCCAGAGCUGCCCACCUCACCAUAGACGGCAUCCCUGUCUCCGUGGAUAAGAUGACCCAG